This 35-nucleotide transfer RNA is filed under the name Perca fluviatilis (European perch). RNAcentral's name for it is "partial tRNA-Phe". Lineage: Eukaryota; Metazoa; Chordata; Actinopteri; Perciformes; Percidae. The record is from RNAcentral.
GAUGUUAAGAUGGGCCCUAGAAAGCUCCGCAAGCA